UCUAUGGUGGUACUCUAUGGUUAGAUACAUGCAAGCAAAUCAGAUUUAAAAUAUUCCGAAAACCUACAACAACAGAUUUAAUGAUUUCGUUUCAUUCCAACCACCCAAGAGCACAUAAGGUAGCUGGGCAUUCAUAGCUUGGCUUUUAGAGCGUUUAAUAUUCCUUUGCAACCAGACGAUCUGAAUGCCGAAAUAAACACCAUCAGAUACUUAUGCCAGAAGAAUGGUUACCCUGCGUACUUAGUAAAUCAAAUUUUGAAGAAACAUGAAAUACGGAAACGGAAUCGAAAUAACCCUAAAAUAGCUAAUAAUAGGCCUAGGAAAUUCAUUCCAUUAAGUUACUUCAAUAAAUCUAGUAACAUAGUAGGUAAUGCUUUCAAACGUUUUGGUUACCAACCUGCAUUCCAUUGUUCCUCUAAUUGUUUGAAAAGUAUUAAUAAUAAUAGCCCAAAAGUAAACGAUUUAGACAGAGCUGGAGUUUAUAAAAUAACCUGCAACGAUUGUUCUGCCCGUUACAUCGGAAAAACCGAACGUAGCAUUCGGCUAAGAUUUAGUGAGCAUUUAGCAAAAGAUAAUUCUAAUGUGUAUAAACAUAUAAAGGAUACUAAUCACAACAUUGACCUUAUUAAUAGCGUGUCGAUUUGUAAUUUAUCAAACAACAAAGCUGUAUUAAGAGCAAAUGAAAAAUUUCACAUUCUGGAAGCAAUUAAAAAUAACGAAGAACUACUUAAUAUCCAAACUGAUUUAGAUAAUGCGAAUAAUGUACUAUUGGAUAAGUGUUGUGACUUGUAACUCCUCCUCCUCACCUAGUGUUUGAAUUUCCCGUUUGUUUACUUUCCGACCCGUAUGAUGCUACUCCUGGUGGUUUGGAGAUGAACUUCCCCCUUUCUUUGUUUUGAUGUUAUUUAAUUUUAGGUUAUGCGCUUGUAAAUUUUAUUUCUGCUGUCUGCUUUACAUCUUUGCUUAAAUGUAGUUGUUUGGUAGUUUGCGCAUGUAUUUU
RNAcentral lists this long non-coding RNA (1000 nucleotides) under Bemisia tabaci. RNAcentral describes it as "lncRNA ENSSSA1NGG005905". The record is from RNAcentral. Lineage: Eukaryota; Metazoa; Arthropoda; Insecta; Hemiptera; Aleyrodidae.